Molecule: ribosomal RNA, 759 nt
Filed under: Syllis busseltonensis
Lineage: Eukaryota; Metazoa; Annelida; Polychaeta; Phyllodocida; Syllidae
Description: bacterial SSU rRNA
Rfam family: Eukaryotic small subunit ribosomal RNA
Source: RNAcentral
CUCCAAUAGCGUAUAUUAAAGUUGUUGCAGUUAAAAAGCUCGUAGUUGGAUCUCGGUCGGCCGGCACGCGGUCUCACGGGUACCCAGGCGCAAUGCCGCCCGUGCUGCACUGCCGUCGGCGACCAACCGGCAGGGGGGUGGCACGUAACUGUCCGCCCGGCUCUUGGCUUCAGGGCCCACGCGGUCUCCUGGACCAGAGCCGCUCCGGGUGCCCUUGACUGGGUGGCCCGCGGCACCUGUCCGUUUUACUUUGAAAAAAUUAGAGUGUUCAAGGCAGGCUCCGACGGCCUGAAUAAUGGUGCAUGGAAUAAUGGAAAAGGACCUCGGUCCUAUUCUGUUGGUUCUCCGGGACUCGAGGUAAUGAUCAAGAGGGACAGACGGGGGCAUUCGUACUGCGGCGUGAGAGGUGAAAUUCUUGGACCGCCGCAAGACGGACUACUGCGAAAGCAUUUGCCAAGAAUGUUUUCAUUAAUCAAGAACGAAAGUCAGAGGUUCGAAGACGAUCAGAUACCGUCCUAGUUCUGACCAUAAACGAUGCCGACUGGCGAUCCGCCCGAGUUGUACCUAUGACCCGGCGGGCAGCCCCCGGGAAACCUCAAGUCUUUGGGUUCCGGGGGAAGUAUGGUUGCAAAGCUGAAACUUAAAGGAAUUGACGGAAGGGCACCACCAGGAGUGGAGCCUGCGGCUUAAUUUGACUCAACACGGGGAAACUCACCCGGCCCGGACACCGUGAGGAUUGACAGAUUGAGAGCUCUUUCU